UCAGUUUUUACGUUGGCAGGUGCCCGUGUUACGGGAGAAUAGGGAAUCAGGUGUAAGUCCUGAGCGGACCCGCCACUGUAACCAGGGACAGGCCGCGGGAGGCCACUGCCACGGAACACCGGGGCGGGAAGGCGCGGUUGAUGGAUGACCUGGAGCCAGGAGACCUGCCUGCCGACAGGGCUCUCU
RNAcentral lists this non-coding RNA (186 nucleotides) under Thermacetogenium phaeum. Lineage: Bacteria; Bacillati; Bacillota; Clostridia; Thermoanaerobacterales; Thermoanaerobacteraceae. RNAcentral also lists the same sequence under 1 other name. The record is from RNAcentral.